UCUCCCAAAUAAACUGUUCAUCAUUUUUGCCCUCCUUUAGUGUCAUAACCUGGAUCUACCACAGCUUAUGAAGUCCGAGUCAGGCUGAUCUCUUUUGCCUGGGACUGGGCAGGUUGGAAACCAUAUGGAGUUGUCUCAUACAUCAGUCAGAAGAAAGAAAGCCAGCAGAAGAAAUUUCAGUGUAUAAACCCACUUGGAGAUCCCACCAUAGAACAUUUUGACCAUAUGUGAUUCCCUUCACUGGUGUGCACCUGGACAUCCUCUACCAUUUAAAGGAAUCUGCUGAAGUACUCCCAAGGCACUUCACCAAG
This is a long non-coding RNA of Melospiza melodia melodia, 311 nucleotides long. RefSeq lists it as uncharacterized. The transcript is spliced from 3 exons. The record is from RefSeq and is a predicted model, not a curated record. NCBI's taxonomy places the organism in Eukaryota, Metazoa, Chordata, Aves, Passeriformes, Passerellidae.